CUAGUCUGAAGCUCUAAAUUAUAUAACUGCAAGGGAAGAAAAGCUAGCCAGGGACUUUUACAUAUCUCGAUGGCUAUUCUAUCUCCAACUACCUCGAGUUGUUCUUUUUCCUCCGUGGCGCAACUUCCAUGCCACGUGGCCCAGUCAACUGUUUCCAUUUAAGGCAAAUAGAGGAGUACACACACCUAAUCGCAUCAAUCAAAGCCCAGAUUAUGAUGGUUUGUGAAGGGAUACAGGAAUUACUCCACCUUUCAGUAGAGGGGUCUUACUAAACGAGAGUUCUCGAAUUUUGUAUUACUCAGUUCCUACUGCUGCUUUGCUAGCAUAUCUACACAAUGAAGAUAGAGAGGAGAAAACAAGGGCGGACAAAUGAGGUUUGUUAUGGACCUGCAUUUCUGUGGUGUUUCUAUAAAUAGAAGACUGUAUUGCUAUCACAGAGGUGUCAAUAUUGUGAAGUUGAUGGACUAUACUUUUGUGGAAGCAGACAAAAAUUAAUUCUAGUAUGAAAUGCAUUUAAAUUCAACAGUUGAUGGCUUGUGUUCGUUGGUGUUGACAAUCUAUUGCC
This is a long non-coding RNA of Camellia sinensis, 565 nucleotides long. RefSeq lists it as uncharacterized. The record is from RefSeq and is a predicted model, not a curated record. Lineage: Eukaryota; Viridiplantae; Streptophyta; Magnoliopsida; Ericales; Theaceae.